This 828-nucleotide ribosomal RNA is filed under the name uncultured bacterium. RNAcentral's name for it is "bacterial SSU rRNA". It matches the Rfam family "Bacterial small subunit ribosomal RNA", at positions 28 to 830 of the family's 1533-position model. The record is from RNAcentral.
AACGAACGCUGGCGGCGUGCUUAACACAUGCAAGUCGAACGCGAAAGUUUUCUUCGGAAAGCGAGUAGGGUGGCGCACGGGUGAGUAACGCGUAAGUAAUCUACCCCUGUAUUUGGGAUAACCCACCGAAAGGUGUGCUAAUACCGAAUACGUCUGAUUUAAUACCUUUUUUUCAGAGAAAGGUGGCCUCUUCAUGAAAGCUACUGUACAGGGAGGAGCUUGCGUACCAUUAGCUAGUUGGUAGGGUAACGGCCUACCAAGGCGAUGAUGGUUAGCGGGUCUGANAGGAUGAUCCGCCACACUGGAACUGAAACACGGACCAGACUCCUACGGGAGGCAGCAGUGAGGAAUAUUGCGCAAUGGGGGCAACCCUGACGCAGCGACGCCGCGUGGAUGAUGAAGGCCUUCGGGUUGUAAAAUCCUGUCAGAUGGGAAGAAGUGUACUAUGGUUUAAUAUCUGUAGUAUUUGACGGUACCAUCANAAGGAAGCACCGGCUAACUCCGUGCCANNAGCCGCGGUAAUACGGAGGGUGCAAGCGUUGUUCGGAAUUACUGGGCGUAAAGCGCGCGUAGGCGGCCGUAUAAGUCAUUUGUGAAAGUCCCUGGCUCAACCAGGGAAGUGCAUGUGAAACUGUGCGGCUUGAGUACUGGAGGGGGUAGUGGAAUUCCCGGUGUAGAGGUGAAAUUCGUAGAUAUCGGGAGGAAUACCGGUGGCGAAGGCGACUACCUGGCCAGAUACUGACGCUGAGGUGCGAAAGCGUGGGGAGCAAACAGGAUUAGAUACCUGGUAGUCCACGCCGUAAACGAUGUCAACUAGGUGUUGGGAUG